RNAcentral lists this ribosomal RNA (427 nucleotides) under uncultured bacterium. Its description in RNAcentral is "partial 16S ribosomal RNA". It matches the Rfam family "Bacterial small subunit ribosomal RNA", at positions 355 to 774 of the family's 1533-position model. The record is from RNAcentral.
UGGGGAAUAUUGGACAAUGGGCGAAAGCCUGAUCCAGCCAUGCCGCGUGUGUGAAGAAGGUCUUCGGAUUGUAAAGCACUUUAAGUUGGGAGGAAGGGCAUUAACCUAAUACGUUAGUGUUUUGACGUUACCGACAGAAUAAGCACCGGCUAACUCUGUGCCAGAAGCCGCGGUAAUACAGAGGGUGCAAGCGUUAAUCGGAAUUACUGGGCGUAAAGCGCGCGUAGGUGUUUUGUUAAGUUGGAUGUGAAAUCCCCGGGCUCAACCUGGGAACUGCAUUCAAAACUGACUGACUAGAGUAUGGUAGAGGGUGGUGGAAUUUCCUGUGUAGCGGUGAAAUGCGUAGAUAUAGGAAGGAACACCAGUGGCGAAGGCGACCACCUGGACUAAUACUGACACUGAGGUGCGAAAGCGUGGGGAGCAAACA